RNAcentral lists this ribosomal RNA (253 nucleotides) under uncultured bacterium. RNAcentral's name for it is "partial 16S ribosomal RNA". It matches the Rfam family "Bacterial small subunit ribosomal RNA", at positions 524 to 776 of the family's 1533-position model. The record is from RNAcentral.
UACGUAGGGGGCUAGCGUUGUCCGGAAUCAUUGGGCGUAAAGCGCGUGUAGGCGGUCCGGUAAGUCCGCUGUGAAAGUCGGGGGCUCAACCCUCGGAUGCCGGUGGAUACUGUCGGGCUUGAGUACGGAAGAGGCGAGUGGAAUUCCUGGUGUAGCGGUGAAAUGCGUAGAGAUCAGGAGGAACACCCGUGGCGAAGGCGGCGCCCUGGUCCGUUUCUAACGCUGAGACGCGAAAGCGCGGGGAGCGAACGGG